CUCCUCUCAGGGUCACACCUGGAGAGUCUCCAGUACUCUACCAGUCUCGACUAUGGGAGGGAGAGAAAAGCAGAGGCCUAUCCAUUCCAUUCCUAGCAUGGGCAGUGGCUAGCGAGUGGAAUGUAAUCUGCUACAGGU
Small nucleolar RNA from Tachyglossus aculeatus (Australian echidna), 138 nucleotides. The record is from RefSeq and is a predicted model, not a curated record. NCBI's taxonomy places the organism in Eukaryota, Metazoa, Chordata, Mammalia, Monotremata, Tachyglossidae.